Molecule: transfer RNA, 87 nt
Filed under: Collinsella tanakaei
Lineage: Bacteria; Bacillati; Actinomycetota; Coriobacteriia; Coriobacteriales; Coriobacteriaceae
Also listed under: 5 other names
Description: tRNA-Leu
Rfam family: tRNA
About the family: Transfer RNA (tRNA) molecules are approximately 80 nucleotides in length. Their secondary structure includes four short double-helical elements and three loops (D, anti-codon, and T loops).
Source: RNAcentral
GCGGGCGUGGCGGAAUUGGCAGACGCGUAUGGUUCAGGUCCAUAUGAGCUCCGGCUCGUGAAGGUUCAAGUCCUUUCGCCCGCACCA